RNAcentral lists this long non-coding RNA (1008 nucleotides) under Jatropha curcas. RNAcentral describes it as "long non-coding RNA (JCUR_LNC002304)". Lineage: Eukaryota; Viridiplantae; Streptophyta; Magnoliopsida; Malpighiales; Euphorbiaceae. The record is from RNAcentral.
GGGAUUCAUGUAUUUGUUAACUAAUCAUAGUUGCCAACUAGCAAAAUUUGGCAGCUGCCUUUGAAGGCUUAGCACAUAUUCACGUGGUGUGCCUUAAGGAUUUUUUGUUUUCUACUACUUCUCACCCCACCGUUCCUAUAUAACACUGCACUUCUCUACUCUAUUAUAAAAAAAUUAUCAGUCUUUUCUUUUCUUCACCAAAACCCACAAAAAUGGAGUCCUCCAAGAUUUCAGCUCUUCUUCUCAUUUGCAUGCUUUUCAUUUCCUCUGCUGCUCCAAUUCUUGGCUGUGGCAGUUGUGGCAAACCACGGCAUAAGCACAAAAGCCCUAAAAGACCAAAAACUGUUCCUCCAAUUGUUAAGCCUCCAAUUAAUUUGCCUCCUGUUACAGUUCCUCCAAUUGUAAAACCACCAAUCACACUCCCUCCCGUUACAGUUCCUCCAAUUGUAAAACCACCAGUGACACUCCCUCCUGUUACAGUUCCUCCAAUUGUGAAGCCACCAGUUACGCUCCCUCCUGUUACAGUCCCUCCGGUUACAGUUCCUCCAGUUUUAAAUCCACCAAAGGGAAGUGGGAAAAAACCUUGCCCAUCACCACCAGCAAAACAGGAGACUUGCCCUAUUGACACACUGAAAUUAGGGGCUUGUGUUGAUUUGCUUGGUGGGUUAGUGCACAUUGGGCUAGGGGACCCUGUUGUGAACCAGUGCUGUCCAGUUAUUGAAGGACUUGCAGGUCUUGAAGCUGCUGUUUGCUUAUGCACUACUCUUAAGCUUAAACUUCUCAACCUUAAUGUUUAUGUCCCCAUUGCCCUUCAACUCCUUGUUACUUGUGGAAAGACUCCUCCUCCUGGUUACACUUGCUCUCUUUAGAUCCAAGUUAAGUGCGUAUUCUCUUCGCUUUGCUUGAAAAUUAGCUGAUAAUUUAAUGAUCGACUGUCUGUCUUAUCAUGCAAAAAUUCGGGAGUUAAAACCCUAAUUUGAGUACUUGAACGAUUUAUGUUAAUGCAGG